Ictidomys tridecemlineatus (thirteen-lined ground squirrel) is the source of this 5032-nucleotide non-coding RNA. The record is from RefSeq and is a predicted model, not a curated record. Lineage: Eukaryota; Metazoa; Chordata; Mammalia; Rodentia; Sciuridae.
CUCUCAGAGGGCUCCCAUCCUCAGCUUAGCACACAAGUCCUUUGUGACGUCGCUCUGGCCGCAUCUCAGGCCACCACCCACAACCCCCUUUUGCUCCGGAUGGGUGGAACCAGCCGCUGCUCCACCAGUGUUGGGAAGCCACCGCCCGGCCUGUGCCCCCUCAGUGCAGGGCCUGCCCAUCGCCUCCAGGAAGCCGACCCCAGGCCCAAUCGUGAUCUAGAAGCUUCUUCCCCACGCUGUACGUGCACCUGAUAGGAGAUCCCGCCAUCCUUUCUCAUAAAUGCUGAUCGACUCCAACUCGCCCACUUCCUGUGAGUCCCGUUUAUAUUGAAAUUCUAGCCUGAGCCCCACAUCUGGCUCACAGAAGGGACACGGAGGACUGACUUGACUUCUCGGGUACAUUUCUUCGGGGAGAUGACCUCAAAAAGACGACAACAUGGCCCACUCGUUCCGGACACUCGGGUCCUCUUUCUUCCUUUUGUUUCCUUCUGUCUCUUCCAGGGUGCCUCCCCUGUAAUAUUUGGGCCCCCCCGACCACCCUUCACAAAGCCCAAAGGGUGGACGGUUGAGAGGGCGUCCCUGUGCCAAGGGGCAGUCUGGAUUCCUUCCUUGAUCAGCUCCUCUCAGUUCAGGGCUUUUCUGAGUCUGUCCUUGAAGGGAUGUUGCCCAGGGCCUGCCCAGACCUGAGGGCAGAGGAAGACCCGCUCUCCUUAGGAGAGAGUCGAGGAUGAGGACUCCUCCCUGGACAUUGUGUCCAGGACACAUGAAGCCGAUUUCUCAGGUCCCUGGAAAGACAGGAGAUUCUGGAAAGGCCUUAGAUGGAGUUAGUCCUUCACUAAAGAAAAGGCCCGGGGAUGUGGGUCCCGUUUUAUUUCCUCAGCUGGGUGUCCUGGAGUGUUGAGGGCCGCCCACUUUCUUUCUUUCUUACCUUUUAUGUAUUUUAAGUAUUUCUUAAUCAGAAAACAAAGAUGUUGCUCCCAACUCCAGAUAUGAGAAAGACCUAACUAAAACACACCAGUCGAAGAGGAAGGAGAUAUUUAAAUGGUUUGGUUUUGCAUAAUCUAUAGAAAGCCCUGUUUGCAUAGCCGACCAGAGGAACUCCGUGCAGCUACAGUUGUUGGUUGUCAGGGGAACAGUCAGAGGUAGGUGGAUGACAAAGCAGAGGGGCACUGACUGACUGGGCAGGGUCAUGGGGCUGGAGCCAUCACUCUGGAGAAAGGACCGACAGGCUCUUCUGGCGCAGCCUCUGAGUUUGUCAGGGAUUAAAGGGUAAACCCCAGACCCAGGGAACUGGGUGGGAACCAUUCAUUUCCUGGGCCACUGAACCUCCUGCAGGCCAGGCCCUGUGCUGGGUGAAGGGGAAACAAACCCAACAAAGAUGAGUUUCUUGCCCUCCAGGGAUCCACGGACCACUCGAGUGAGACUGGAUCAUCACUGGGAGCACAGUGAGGGCCGUGGUCAAGUUCCAGGCUGGCCCAUGGGUUGACCAAGCGGGGGGCCAAGGGAGCUUCUCAGGGAGAUGUUUGGACAGCGUCUUGAGCAAUCGGUAGGACUUGCCCAGACUGUGGCAGGUGUUGAGGAUCUCGUGGACCCUCCUGCCCUCAGGGAGCCUGUGGUCUAGGUGGAGGACGAGCGUCAAACACUUCCGUACACAACUAAGGAAAAUUAGGGUAGGUGCUGUGAGUGUUGGUAACAAUUACAAAUGUCCUAGAUCUUAAGAGAGAUCUUGAGGGAGGGUGGAGCUCCCUGGGAGAGUGGCACAGGCUGUAACCCUACAAAUUAGGAGGCUGAGGCAGAAAGAAGGAUCCCAAGUUCAAGGCCAGCCUCAGCAAUUUAGCAAGGCCCUGUCUCAAAAUUAAAAUAAAAAGGACUGGGAUGUAGCUCAGUGGUAGAGGACCCCUAGGUUCAAUCCAAAAAGAAGGAGAAGAGAAGAAGGAGAAAACUCAUUUGGCAAAAAGAGGGGAAGGGCAUUUCUGGGAAGAGAGAACCUGCGAAUAUACCAAGGCCCUGAGCCAGGAGGGAGCAGGGCCCUUGGAAGGAGCUGACCCAAGCCAGUGUGGCUGCAUCAGAGUGAGGGAAAGAGGUGAGAAGAAGUGGGUUGGCAUAGGCCUUAUUAAAGGGAUUAAAAAAAAAAAAAGAAAAACUCUAUCUUAAGAGCAAAGGGGAGCCACUAGAGGUCUGAAGCAGGUAAGAGACUCAUCAGAUUCAUCACUUGGUGAAAUUCUGGUUACUCUGAAGAGAAUCCAUUUGUGGUGGGGACAGAGAGACCUCUUGAGAGGCUGUCAUGGUCACCAGGUGAGAAUGGAUUCUGCAUUGAACAGGAGCAGCAACAGAGAAGGAAGUGAAGUUGCAGAGGAAUAGCGCCUGGGAGCGAUUGCCGGCUUCCUGUUGCACUCUCCCCGCUGAACUUGACGGUGUCUUCCACUCGUCCUGACCACGGCCUCAGUUGCUGCCAGACGAGGCCAGAGAACCGACCUUAAAUCCCGAGUGUGGAUUCCCACGGAGACCCAGGAGUCACAUUUGAUGGAAGGAAAUGCGUGCAGAGCUCCUCUUGCCUCUGUAGCAAUUGGCAUGGCCAUCCUGUCCCCCUCGCCUCCUCCAGGCGAGGGUGCUGUGCAUGGGGUCUCGGGGGGGACUGCUCUGAUUCACCUGAAUCUGUGAAUAAGUAGAAAAACGAGAAAUAAACAGUUCAAAACAAACCCCAAAGGGAGAUGGAUUCCUUUUAAGCUUUUCCAAGCCGGCUGUGGUGUGAAGCCCCUGCUGCCCGGUGCCAGCCAGCCUGGGUUCUGAGUAGUCCUUGAGAGUACCACCUGGGCUCUCCCAUGGGGAAACCAAGGGUGUGGCUGCACCCGGCUUUUCUCCAGUCACUUUUUCUUUGCACUAGAGAGUUGGUCGUAAAUGACAGGAGCCCAGCUUGAACCAGCCUAACCAGAGAGGGUGGUUUCGAGAACACUGAGAUGGGGGAGGGAGAUGGUCACAGAUGUCAUGGAGGAGUUGACGGGUCAAGUGGCAGGAAGGGCAGGGUGUGGCUGAAAGCUCUGGAGCAACCAGAACCUAGGGCUGCAACACGCUCAGGACUCUUGCCUUCUCUGAUUUCUUCCUGACCGUCUGCUUCCAUCGUCCCUCUUCCUGAAGACUAGUUUUCUCCAGAGGACAGUCCAACAUGGCAGCCAACCCCACUGGAUAUCGUCUCUUAACAGUUUCAGCUGCCUGGGAGAGACUCCGAAGACAUUUUUAUCCUAGAUGCAAACUCCCAGGUGCCCAUGCCCAGCCUCAUCCACCAUAACUUUGGCAGCAAGGGACUUACAGAAGAACAGGGCAGCUCCCAAAAGCUGUUGGAGUGGAACAGGGGCAGGUCUCAGAAUGAGAUCAGCAGUCCACCAGCCAGAUAAAAUAUGAUGAUGCCUUCCACUACCUGUAUGCAUCGAGAGUCGAGUACCUUUAGAAAUGAGGCACCGACCACAAAAGUUGUUACACCUCUUUUCUUCUUUGGAUCGUUCGUUCAAAGAAAUGUGAAUCUGUGCUCUGGGUCUACGUCAUUCAUCUCUGACUUAGAGUUAACUGUUUUCUUAUUUUCCUUUAAAGCAGGGAUCAUUUUUUUUUUGUUUGAUUUUCAUUGACAGAGGCUUUAUAAACAAAGCUGCAACAUUCUAUCAAAAAAAUAAAAUGAAAUAAAUGAAAUGAAAUGAGGCACCCAGGGCCCUGUUCUGCCAGUGCUCGGUGACAUCAUCCUCUUGAAAGGACCAUCCCAUUCACCAUGGUGUGACUCAGGAGCAUCGCCACCUUCAAGGGCUGCCUGUAUCCAGAAUUUCUCAUGCACAGUGAUCUGUAUGAUUCUGAAGAUGACUCAAGACCCCGAACACAGCUUUGUAGCUGCAGCUAUUUCUGCAGAUACAAUAUUUGUAGGGAUCUCAGUAUGACUGCUUUCCUUUCUUGUCUUUCCUGACUUAUUUUUCAUUCCCUAAUUUCCUGUUUCGUCCCCAGUGCUCCCAAGAACUCAUUUAUCUUUCCAACAGGAGAGCAUGUUUCUGGCUUUCUGACCCCCAAAGCCCAGACUGACCUACUGAAACUCUGCUUCUGAGCAGGGGUCCAGACACCAGUGUUUUGAGAUCAUGUCAGGUGGGGUGGGGAUGACUCAAGGGUGGCAGCUGUCCAUCCCAGGAAGACAGGCUGCCCUGUCUGGGGUGGUGGGACACACUCCCACACCCACUUCUUCCCAUCCCUAACCUUCACCGUGUCUGGCUUACCUCCUCUGAUCCCUCCUCCGCACCUGUCUCCACCUCCGCUUUCUCAUCUGUGUGCCCCACACCUCCCACCUUCCUCCCCUUAAGCUAUAGUUUGGAUAUUUAAUGUCCCCACAGGCUCCUGUGCUAAAGGCUCGUUCUUCAGCUUGGUGCGAUUGGAAGGUGGUGGAACUGUUAAUAGGUGGGGCCUAGUGGGAGGUCUUCUGGUGCCUUGAUGGGAUAGUGGGACCCCUGGUCCUUCCUCUGCCUCUUUUCCUUCCUUUCUUUGCUGAGGAUUGAAUCCAAGGCUUCACACGUGCCAGGCAGUUGCUUUUUCACUGAUCUGCACCCCUGGCUUUGCUCCCUCUUUUCCUUCUCUUCCCAGCAGGAGAUGAAUGGCUUUUCUCCACUGCAUGCUACCAUGGUCUCCCUGCCAUGAUGUGCUGAAGCACUACAGGCCCCAGAGCAGCAGGGUCAACUGAGUGGGGACUGACACCUCCAUAACUGUGAGCCCAAGUUAGCCCUCUGCCUUUAUAAACUGGUUAUCAUAGGUAUUUGUUACAGUAAUGGAAAGCUGACUAACUUUAGGGCCGGUUCAUGACCCAUGUUGCACCCAACUCCUCAGCACCCCUUCACUGGACUACACCUGCCCAAAGCAACUGGGCCAAGUGACCAAGGACUGAAACAUCUGAAACCACGAACCCAGAUGAAACUUUCCUCCUUUAGAUAGCUUUUCUCUGGUAUUUUGUCACAGCAAUGAAAUGCUGACUAACACACUCUGGUUAAUAAAAAUUCAUUGAAUAUUUCAA